RNAcentral lists this transfer RNA (72 nucleotides) under Circaeaster agrestis. RNAcentral's name for it is "tRNA-Gln". It matches the Rfam family "tRNA". Rfam says of the family: Transfer RNA (tRNA) molecules are approximately 80 nucleotides in length. Their secondary structure includes four short double-helical elements and three loops (D, anti-codon, and T loops). RNAcentral also lists the same sequence under 1 other name. The record is from RNAcentral. Lineage: Eukaryota; Viridiplantae; Streptophyta; Magnoliopsida; Ranunculales; Circaeasteraceae.
UGGGGCGUAGCCAAGUGGUAAGGCAACGGGUUUUGGUCCCGCGACUCGAAGGUUCGAAUCCUUCCGUCCCAG